Asterias rubens (European starfish) is the source of this 1444-nucleotide long non-coding RNA. RefSeq lists it as uncharacterized. The record is from RefSeq and is a predicted model, not a curated record. NCBI's taxonomy places the organism in Eukaryota, Metazoa, Echinodermata, Asteroidea, Forcipulatida, Asteriidae. The transcript has 4 exons.
AAAAGCUUUUAUUGUUGUGAUGGAAACAGUUCUUUUUAAAUCAAUAUUCUGUUUGCUGUCUGUCGUCUGCGAAUGCGAGUGUCACCACGGGAAUUCACAUCAAAUCACAGAGAACAGCCAGCCGGGGAAUGGGUGUAAAUUUCAGGCAGACCACCCGGCAUUUUGAGAGAACUUGCAACUUAAGGCCUUCAACAAGAUAAAGGAGAGCAUCUACGCACAGAUCCAUCCAGAGUUUAUCUGAUUUGUAAUGCUUCAGAGAGACUAAGACUGACAGAGUACAAUGGACUCACCAAACCUAAACUUGUGAAAGAUGGACCUGGGUCUACUGCUGAACAGAGAAAAUCUCCACUAGGAAAGUUCUUCGAUUGAGGUUGCCAAGCAAUCUUCGACACAGGAACCUCUGUUUUGGCCAACAGCUGACGUGGAAUAGAUUUGUAAGCUUGAUGGGAGCUGCACCUCUUGUCAAUCGCGUCAAAGUAAAGGAGUCUGAGAGGGGAGAGACACUUUGAGUGAGUGGAUUCAUCAGAAUGGACUUUCUUAAACCCCUUGGCGCUCUUUGGAUCCUUGGUGACAUCUUCAUUGGCAAAUACUACUCCAAAUUUGAUCGAGUGGACAACCGUUUAGGUUUCGCUGAUGCUAUCAAGGGUGUAGAAUCCAAGGCUGAGUAAGAAACCUACUUUGUAAAUUUGAAGGAUUAUUUUGGGAGUAAGGAAAAGUAAAGAUGGGCCAAACAAAAAUAUAAUAAUGUUUCCUAUUAAACUGAAUAUGGGUAACAGGUUUGUGGCAAUGCAUGCUUAAAAUCAUUUAAAUAGUGCUGAUUGGUAUUAUUAUGCAAAAUAACUGCUGACUGGAAUUAUUAUACAAAAUAAAACUAUUUGGUCAUUCAUUGACUUUUACAAUUGAGUGCAGAAAUUAAAUGAACUCAGACGGACUGUCAGUCAAACCUGACAUUUGUGGAAAACAAAUAUUGCAAAUAGAAAUAUCGCCUACCUAUCCACCCUACUUGUUGACCACUUUAGCAACACCUAGCAAGUUGUUGUACUCGCCUUGUUUUCAGUGUUACAGGAUAAAACUUCUAAAAGCAUUGCCUACCUGUGUGCUCACCCUUUUUGUGAGGAAACAUGACUAUAUUUUUGAUAUGCCCAGACUUCCUGCCUACAAAUUUUUCAUUGUAAUAGGAAAAAAAAACAUGACUUAAUUUCUGUUUAGCCAAAAUAUUAAGACAAAUGUUGCCCAAAUUUUACCUAAAUUCAGUGUGAUAGGAAACGUGAUUAAAUUUCUGUGUGGCCCAACUGAAAACUACCCAUUUAUUUCCAAUGUACAUGUAAAAGGAAACAUAACUAUCAUUUCGUUUGGCUCGAGUGUGACCACCAAUAAAUUUGGUUAAAAGUUAUCUUUCAAUAAACUGAAAGUUAAAGGCACUGGACACUAUUGGUAAUUACUC